AUUCAGAUGACGAGUCCCAAACAAGACGAAAUGCGCAUCCUAGAU
RNAcentral lists this non-coding RNA (45 nucleotides) under Trichobilharzia regenti. The record is from RNAcentral. Lineage: Eukaryota; Metazoa; Platyhelminthes; Trematoda; Strigeidida; Schistosomatidae.